AGUCUUAUAUUCAAUUAUGAUUUUAAAUUGCAAAUUUAAAGGUGGAUUUCCUAAGACUU
This 59-nucleotide transfer RNA is filed under the name Sepedophilus bipunctatus. RNAcentral's name for it is "tRNA-Cys". The record is from RNAcentral. Lineage: Eukaryota; Metazoa; Arthropoda; Insecta; Coleoptera; Staphylinidae.